Molecule: ribosomal RNA, 427 nt
Filed under: uncultured bacterium
Lineage: Bacteria
Description: bacterial SSU rRNA
Rfam family: Bacterial small subunit ribosomal RNA
Source: RNAcentral
AGAGUUUGAUCCUGGCUCAGAGCGAACGCUGGCGGCGUGCUUAACACAUGCAAGUCGAACGCGCAGCAUUCUGUAGCAAUACAGGGUGUGGGCGCGUGGCGAACGGGUGCGUAACACGUGGAUAACCUUCCUUCAGGUGGGGAAUAACCCAGUGAAAAUUGGGCUAAUACCGCAUAACAUGACGAUGCCACAUGGUGUUGUCUUCAAAGCCGCAAGGCGCCAGAAGAGGGAUCCGCGGCCGAUUAGCUUGUUGGCGAGGUAAUGGCUCACCAAGGCUUUGAUCGGUAGCCGGACUGAGAGGUUGGCCGGCCACACUGGAACUGAGACACGGUCCAGACUCCUACGGGAGGCAGCAGUGGGGAAUCUUGCACAAUGGACGAAAGUCUGAUGCAGCAACGCCGCGUGGGGGAUGAAGCUUUUCGGAGUG